CAUGAAUUGUCCAAAACUCCAACCCCCAAUCUCUCAAAAAACCCAGACCAGAUCAAAACAAAGCUGCCCCUUAAGAACCGACUCAGCAAGAUCAAAAAGCAAAUCCGAGAAAAGCCUGUGCCUUUUGGUGAAAACCAACCCAAGAAACAAAGAUCAGAAGAAACUAAAGACUCAGGAGAAAAAUGUGGUUGGUGUAUGUCUGUGAUGAGGAAGAGAAGGAGCUGGGGAGGCAGCAAGCCCCUGGAUCAUGCCCACACUGUGGAGGCAAAGUGCAGGCUGUGGAUGUUGAGGCCCAGUGGAAGUUUUGCUUUCUGCCCAUGUGCUUCAAGAUCAAGAGAAAGUAUUUCUGCACUCUCUGUGCCAGGCGCUUGGUCUUGUACUACUAACAACAAGUUCAACAACACCAGCAUAUACAUUUAGCAGCAGAGACCAAGAAAAUUCAAGCUCUCUCUCUCUCUCUCUCUCUCUCUCUCCAUGUAUUUUAUUUGUGGCCCUUUUGGGUUACAAUGGGAUUCAGGAACCAUGGGGUUUUGUUGUAAAAAUGAUUGUUGGAUGGUUCUUGAUUUGAAUGCAAGUUUUCCAUUAAAUUAUUUACUGGUUGAAAUGUUUUGGGUCCC
This 617-nucleotide long non-coding RNA is filed under the name Prunus dulcis (almond). RNAcentral describes it as "sRNA ncRNA". Lineage: Eukaryota; Viridiplantae; Streptophyta; Magnoliopsida; Rosales; Rosaceae. The record is from RNAcentral.